Molecule: transfer RNA, 72 nt
Filed under: Puccinia coronata f. sp. avenae
Lineage: Eukaryota; Fungi; Basidiomycota; Pucciniomycetes; Pucciniales; Pucciniaceae
Rfam family: tRNA
About the family: Transfer RNA (tRNA) molecules are approximately 80 nucleotides in length. Their secondary structure includes four short double-helical elements and three loops (D, anti-codon, and T loops).
Source: Rfam by way of RNAcentral
GUGUACUUAGCUCAAUGGUCAGAGCAUCACUCAUGAAUGCUGAGGUUGUGGGUUUGAGUCCCACCUUACACC